UUCCUUUGUUUAAACUUGAUAAAUAGUCAGUAAUGAGUUUGAGAAGCUUGAAAGGUAAAAUCAAUGAGAUAACAGUAUUCUGUAUAAUUCACUGCAGGCCCCCAAACCGUCCGCUCACAUUGUGGGAGCUCAUUUAGAAGUAGUCCACUAUCCAGUCAACACAGUGAUCACCGACUGGUCAACCAGUGACAGUCGUAGUCAUCUUGCAGGUGGCAUGACGUACCGUGACGGAAAGUUGACAGUGCCCAGGGCUGCAAAGUACUACAUCUAUGCACAGCUCUACUUCAGGAGCCUCGGGAGAGUGUUUUUUGUUGUGAAUGACGAUAACGCCGUUACCUUGCUUCAGCGAUCGGAAACUGGGCGAGCGGAAGGCCCAAGGAACGCUUUCGGUGUAUUUGACCUUAAAGCUGGUGACACCAUCUCGCUGAAGAUCAAUUCGUGGGGAGCGCCGCAGAAUGGCGUCGAAUUUUGGUUCAAUGGCUACCACGAUUACUUCGGUGCAUUCUUGAUUUGAGCCUAUCACGGCUAACAGUUUAGCGUGUUGCCACGUCUCCUGUCCAAAUUAGUGAAAAGGUCAUUAAAUAAAAGAAACAGACUAGA
Molecule: long non-coding RNA, 600 nt
Organism: Orbicella faveolata
Lineage: Eukaryota; Metazoa; Cnidaria; Anthozoa; Scleractinia; Merulinidae
Source: RefSeq, a predicted model, not a curated record